GAGAGAAAUAUAUUUAUCGUUUGGAAUUAUUAUAUGAUAGAAACAGAACAUCACAUUCAAGAAACAAGGAAAACAUGGAAGAAAAAAAAACACACUCAAGAAUGGAACACACAUCUUAGAAGACGAAAGACAAUGCACCGACUAACGCGGUAGCGAUGAGCUGAGGAUAUGCGGAGAAAGUGGCAGCACUUGGAGCCGGAGCCGGAGUAUGAUGAUGUGGCAUCGGAGCCAUACCAGGGGCCAUAGCCAUACCAGGGGCCAUAGCCGGACCAUGGUGGUGCCCGGCGUGCGACUCGGCAGUCAUGACCAAAACAGCCAAGACAAUGCAGACGAAGGAAAAGCGGACCAAAGAACUUGUUGCUGCCAUUUUAAUUCUUCUUCUCCUUUCGUCUUCUUAUUUGCUUCUUUCUCUGUGGGAUAUAUCAUCUAAUGGGAUUGAAUUUAUAGAGAGAGAGAGGAGAGGGUUGUAUAAACAAUGCGUAGUGGAUUUAAA
RNAcentral lists this long non-coding RNA (493 nucleotides) under Brassica napus (rape). RNAcentral's name for it is "long non-coding RNA (BNAP_LNC010573)". Lineage: Eukaryota; Viridiplantae; Streptophyta; Magnoliopsida; Brassicales; Brassicaceae. The record is from RNAcentral.